This 654-nucleotide unclassified non-coding RNA is filed under the name Hevea brasiliensis (rubber tree). The record is from RNAcentral. Lineage: Eukaryota; Viridiplantae; Streptophyta; Magnoliopsida; Malpighiales; Euphorbiaceae.
GCACAACAUGCUCAACAAGAAGAUGAAACAAGAAUAAAUCUUGAUUCCUUGCUCGUGGAUUAGGAUAAUUUCUCUUUCUCCAUGUUGUUUGCCUUUCGUGGCGUUGGGUGUUGAUUGGGGUCUAUAGGAGAUUGGACUGUUGUUGCAAAUGGGAGAAAGGAAAUAUGUCGAGGAACUUUGCAUUUGGUCUAAGGGGCUAACAACGAAGGUAUGUCUAUAUGAGGUGAGAGUGAAAUGGGUCUAUUUAGAGGCAACAAAUGGUGGAGGGUGAUCAAUGGGUAUAGAAGUAGAGGACGGAAAUGGGUUUGUGGUGAUUUGACUGAAUGAGGGAGCAGGUCUGCAUGUGGAAAGUCUCAACAAGAAUGAGUUAUGAUGGCCUUGAUUUGCAUUGCAAAGGAUGAGGAGAUGGUGGCAAAGGAGUUGCGUGUCCGUGUGCGUGUUGGAGGGGAAGGGGAAAAUGGGGAGCGAUGUCGCUAGGUUUUUGUAGUGGCUGUAUGCUUUGGUGCUACUGCUGGGUUUAUGAGUGGUGAGAUGAGGGUUGUAGAGUGGGUGUUGUGCUUGUUGUGAUGGUGAAAGAAGCAAAGCUGCGAGGGGAUGCAAGUUUGACGAAGGCGACAGGAAAAGGGCAUAAGCAAUUGUGUCUCUGUUGUUAGG